This 23-nucleotide transfer RNA is filed under the name Callichlamys latifolia. RNAcentral describes it as "partial tRNA-His". The record is from RNAcentral. Lineage: Eukaryota; Viridiplantae; Streptophyta; Magnoliopsida; Lamiales; Bignoniaceae.
GGCGGAUUAGCCAAGUCGAACGU